RNAcentral lists this ribosomal RNA (233 nucleotides) under uncultured bacterium. RNAcentral's name for it is "partial 16S ribosomal RNA". It matches the Rfam family "Bacterial small subunit ribosomal RNA", at positions 15 to 236 of the family's 1533-position model. The record is from RNAcentral.
GAUCCUGGCUCAGGAUGAACGCUAGCUACAGGCUUAACACAUGCAAGUCGAGGGGAAACGACAUCGAAAGCUUGCUUUUGACGGGCGUCGACCGGCGCACGGGUGAGUAACGCGUAUCCAACCUGCCCACCACUUGGGGAUAACCUUGCGAAAGUAAGACUAAUACCCAAUGAUAUCUCUAGAAGACAUCUGAAAAGAGAUUAAAGAUUCAUCGGUGAUGGAUGGGGAUGCGU